UCUGGACUGUGUAAUGUAAGGCUAAAGACAGAACUGUCUGCAAAUAUUAUACUCUAGUUAGCAAAUUUUUUUCCUCAAGGGUAUGGGUUAGCAAUUCUGGAACUACUUUAUAUGUAUACUAGGAUUGAAUAAGUAAUGGGCUUCUUUGAGAAAUGAUUGAUUCCAGGGAAAAUAUAAGAUGAAUUAGGAAUAUCUUAAGGUACUGGAAAAUAUGGAAGCACUAAAAAUGAUGAUGUGUGUAAAAAUGAUACAGGAACCAACUUGAAGGAGUUUCCAAUGAAAGCUGGGACAAGUUGAGCUAAAAAAUAAAUAAUGAUAGUAAUGGAUUAUGAUGUAGAAAGUGAAAUUAACGUCCCUGAGUCCAUACUGAUAUAAAUAAAUAAACAAAUGGAGAGAAGAAACAGCUCUUCUUUAAUAAUAAUAAUAAUAAUAAUAAUAAUAAUAAUAAAGGAAUGAUAGGAAUAGAAAAUCACCAAAAGGCAAAGAUUAGAAUAGUUCAUGGGCACUUAAAAGCAGUGAAGGUAAGAAUGUCGAGAAAUAGGAUAUUUGCAUAGUCUCAAAGUACCUCCUCCCAAGAUAGUUUUAGUUACAAAAGGAUAAAUAGUAACUUUAUAGAGAUUACACAUGGCCAAACUGUAUAACCAAGCGAUGAAAGUCAACUUCUCCAGUAAGAAGUCAUUGGCAUCAGAACCCUUGAGAUGAGGUGCUGAGAAAGCGCACCCUCACUUACACUGUAUUCUUACCUCAAAUGCAUAACCUCAAUUUAAUCACAGGAAGACAUCAGACAAAUGAUCAAUGGAAGGCUAUUCUACAAAAUAACUGACCAGCGCUCUUUGACAGUGUCUAGGAUAUGAGAGACAAAGAACGAUUGAGAAAUGGUCAUAAACUGGAGAAGACUAAGGAAACAUGACAACUGGAUCCUGGACCAGAAAAAAGGACAUGAGUGGGACAACUUGGUUAAAUUUGGAAAAACCAGUUCAUGGUGAGCUAGAUGGAGCCAGAAGUUUCCACGAACAAUUGUCACUUCCUUGGACACUUUUUUUUUUCUUUUUUGAGAGAGAGUGAGAGCCCGAGUGACAGAGGGAGAGAGAAUCUCAAGAAGGCUCUGCGCUAACAGCUAACAUCUCAUUGUGAGAUCAAUUGCGAGAUCAUGACCUGAGCUGAAAUCAGGAGACAGACGCUUAACGGACUGAGCUGCCCAGGUGCCCGCCUUUAAACACUCUUAAACUCAGAUGGAGGAACUCUUGUGCCAGGUCAGCCUUAUGAUUUAUCUUACUCUGCUGUCCACUUGAGGAGCAGCACUGAUCUCUUGGAUGCCAACUUUAAGGCUAAUAACUUCCAGGUUUCCAGUAGUGGUCAAUGACGAUUCCGCCUUCCUUACAUUUCUCUAAAUAGCCCAUCCGGUUCUUGAAAAUGGUAUUAUUAUUUUGUUAAACUGACAACAUGCCCAUUGUAAAAAUUCAAACAAUUCAGAAUAGUGAAAAGGAAGGACAAAAGCAUCCUAAAUUCCACCAAUCAACAAUAAUACAUUUGGUGACUGUCUUUCCAGACACACUCUGUGCCUAGAUACACGUGCACAUUAUUUUCCAUAAGUGAGACCAUAUAAUACACACUGUGUGGUAAUCUGGUCUUUCACGGAACAAUGUGCUGUGAUAUGUAUUCUGCACAUCACAUAUAUUUUAUGUAUGUGUUCAACACUCUCUUAUUGAAGUCCAUUUAGAUUGUUUCUGAUUUUUCACUUUCAAACAACGCUGUGACAAACAUCCUUGUGCAUAUUUCUUUUCAUGUUUCUGCAAGUGUCUCUGCAUUAAUGGAUUGUAUUAUUUUUAGAUCGUGGACGCCUUAGAGAAUCUAAUGAAAGCUAUGUCUGGACCACCUCCUUUGCAAAAUACACAUAUUCAUAUACCUCA
Molecule: long non-coding RNA, 1910 nt
Organism: Felis catus (domestic cat)
Lineage: Eukaryota; Metazoa; Chordata; Mammalia; Carnivora; Felidae
Exons: 2
Source: RefSeq, a predicted model, not a curated record